RNAcentral lists this transfer RNA (64 nucleotides) under unidentified. Its description in RNAcentral is "Epeorus sp. 06 ZXM-2022a tRNA-Gly". The record is from RNAcentral.
AUCUAUUUAGUAUAUAAGUAUAUUUGACUUCCAAUCAAAAGGUUUGAAUAUUUCAAAAUAGAUA